RNAcentral lists this ribosomal RNA (640 nucleotides) under Antarctic fungal sp. GI904. Its description in RNAcentral is "eukaryotic LSU rRNA". The stretch from base 208 to 361 matches the Rfam family "5.8S ribosomal RNA". The record is from RNAcentral. Lineage: Eukaryota; Fungi.
GGAAGUAAAAGUCGUAACAAGGUUUCCGUAGGUGAACCUGCGGAAGGAUCAUUAGUGAAUAUAGGACGUCCAACUUAACUUGGAGUCCGAACUCUCACUUUCUAACCCUGUGCAUUUGUUUGGGAUAGUAACUCUCGCAAGAGGGCGAACUCCUAUUCACUUAUAAACACAAAGUCUAUGAAUGUAUUAAAUUUUAUAACAAAAUAAAACUUUCAACAACGGAUCUCUUGGCUCUCGCAUCGAUGAAGAACGCAGCGAAAUGCGAUAAGUAAUGUGAAUUGCAGAAUUCAGUGAAUCAUCGAAUCUUUGAACGCACCUUGCGCUCCAUGGUAUUCCGUGGAGCAUGCCUGUUUGAGUGUCAUGAAUACUUCAACCCUCCUCUUUCUUAAUGAUUGAAGAGGUGUUUGGUUUCUGAGCGCUGCUGGCCUUUAGGGUCUAGCUCGUUCGUAAUGCAUUAGCAUCCGCAAUCGAACUUCGGAUUGACUUGGCGUAAUAGACUAUUCGCUGAGGAAUUCUAGUCUUCGGACUAGAGCCGGGUUGGGUUAAAGGAAGCUUCUAAUCAGAAUGUCUACAUUUUAAGAUUAGAUCUCAAAUCAGGUAGGACUGCCCGCUGAACUUAAGCAUAUCAAUAAGCGGAGGA